GCCUUCAGAUCUCCGAGGAGCCAAACGGACGGCCCUGAUUUCACGCAAGCACUCCUGUCCACGCCAACCCGAUGGAAGCCGAUCCCCAAAACUGAAGCAGAGAACCCGAUCGGAGCAAUCAUGGACGCCCUCACCCGCCUCCACCGGUCGCUCGCCGGCGGCGACGACGAAGAGUGGCAGGAGGACGACAUCCUCGGUGAUACCGAAGGCCUCUGCUCUCUCUCCCCUCUCCAGCGGCUCUACGCCUUCGCGGCUUGCUUGGUUGCUGGACUCGCCCUCAUGAUGCUGUCACUUAUUGUUUUCGCUAGACCUAUCAAAUUUGCUCUCUUGUUUACAUUUGGAAACAUAAUGGCAGUUGGCAGCACAGUCUUUGUAAUGGGGGUAAAUAAACAAUUGAGGAUGAUGCUUGACCCAGUUCGUGUUUAUGCAACGGCUAUUUAUGUUGGAUGUGCUGUUUUUGCUCUGAUUUUCGCUCUUUUGAUUCAUGACAAGCUGCUAACAUUGAUUGCAAUCAUAUGUGAGAUAUGUGCGCUCUUCUGGUAUAGCUUGAGCUACAUCCCUUUCGCUCGACGGAUUGUUUCCAACCUGAUGGUGAAGCUGUGCGACACUGAGCUAUGAUGUUACUUUGGCGCCUGAUGGUCAUUGUCAACAUGCUCCGGCGCCUGAAAUUGGAGAUCUGUUCGUCUCCACCGCUCCUGCAGUGCAUAAGAAGCUGGAUACCCUUCGCUCCUGUCCACUGGCCUGCGGGGCCCACCAGAACGGACGUCGCGGCGGGCCCACACGCCAGUGAACCGGUGGGACGGCACGCGUGGACUCUCUGCUUCAGUUCUCCCAGCCAUUUUCAAAUUUCGAAACCCGUGUCGCUCGCCUCCACCUAUAUAUGCGAUCGUCGCUGCUCCUCCUCCCCCCACACGCAGCAGCAGCGCACGGCACCUCGCCUCCGCCUCCCAGUCCCAGGCGCUGCAUGGGCAAGGCCUUCUCCCUCCUGCGCCCGGAGCCACAGACGCAGGGAGAGCCGGGGGAGGGGAUGGCGAUGGAGCUGAGGAAGCGCCC
Molecule: RNA transcript, 1053 nt
Organism: Triticum aestivum (bread wheat)
Lineage: Eukaryota; Viridiplantae; Streptophyta; Magnoliopsida; Poales; Poaceae
Gene name: vesicle transport protein SFT2B
Exons: 7
Source: RefSeq, a predicted model, not a curated record